CCAGAAAGUAUUUUUGCUUUCCAGUCUCUCUAGUGAAGAAAGGCAGGGAAGGAGCAGGAUGGCUGUAAAGUGGCCAACUCAAAGUGUUUGCCACUGAACUGAGUCUUACAAUAAAAUAGGGAAUGCUACCAAGACCCCCAAAGAGUGAUCUGUACAUUCAGUGAAUUUGAUUUCAUCUUAUCUUAGAAAUGAUCACGAAUACUGAGUGAAUUUGUUUUUACAGGUUCCUUUAAAAACAUUCCGUUAACCAAAAGCCGUAUGAUUGUUUGAGGAGGCACACAUCCAUUAAAAUGAAUAUGUCGGGGAGAUGCCAAUCAGAAGACGGCUGAAGAAUUAUUGCUAAAUGGAGACAGGCAAGGUUGUGUGGCGAAGAUGCUGUUUGAGGCGGUCUUGGAGGAGGGCCAACCACUUGCAGAGUAAGGAUGAGCUGGAGCUCCUGGGGGCCCAGUCACCAUCUAAGAAGCCUGAAGAUGUUUCCAUUGCCAUCUCAUUAUCAGUUCCUUUCAGAACAACUGAAAGAAAGAAAAGACAGAUUUAUUUGCCGAAGCGAUAGAGAAGGAUAUUAGGACAAACGUCUAUGUGGAAAAAACAAUCCAACGUACACAUUUCUUGGGUGAAAAGAUACACAGCGUUUUCAGAGGCUUUCCCCCCGCUCAUCUUAAUGAAGGUGAAUUAUUUAACACAGUUAAAUAAUCUCCAGUUUUCAAUUUAAUGAGACUUACCAGCCCUACGUUUGGCACAUUCUCUUCUAUUAAGCUUUCAGCUAAACCCCAGAGAUAAAAGGUGUUUUACUUCAAAGAAAUCUGAUUUGUUUUUUAUCUAGUAUAUUCAACUGGCAUAAAUUCAGGCAUACCACAUCAGACCUCAGUGAAAUCUGUGUUAGAAGUUUCCCUUUGUUUUCAAAGUCCUUAUAAAUAGAUUUCUUCCAAGCUAUACCUGGUCUUUGUGAACAGAAUGAGUAAGGUUUGAGUGUGUAGGUAAACACAUUUGUAGGAGUCUGUAGAUUUAGGGCCUGGACUGUUAAGGCAGAUCUGGAAAAUAUAAGAGAAUAGCUAAGUAAACUAAAAAAAUAUUAGAGAAUAAAUAGGUUUUUUUAAAAAAUAGAAAGUCA
Molecule: long non-coding RNA, 1111 nt
Filed under: Sus scrofa (pig)
Lineage: Eukaryota; Metazoa; Chordata; Mammalia; Artiodactyla; Suidae
Description: lncRNA (ENSSSCG00050036328.1)
Source: RNAcentral